AUUGAACGCUGGCGGCAUGCUUUACACAUGCAAGUCGAACGGUUAACAGGCCUUCGGGUGCUGACGAGUGGCGAACGGGUGAGUAAUGCAUCGGAACGUGCCCAGUCGUGGGGGAUAACUGCUCGAAAGAGCAGCUAAUACCGCAUACGAUCUAUGGAUGAAAGCGGGGGACCGUAAGGCCUCGCGCGAUUGGAGCGGCCGAUGUCAGAUUAGGUAGUUGGUGGGGUAAAGGCUCACCAAGCCAACGAUCUGUAGCUGGUCUGAGAGGACGACCAGCCACACUGGGACUGAGACACGGCCCAGACUCCUACGGGAGGCAGCAGUGGGGAAUUUUGGACAAUGGGGGCAACCCUGAUCCAGCAAUGCCGCGUGCAGGAAGAAGGCCUUCGGGUUGUAAACUGCUUUUGUACGGAACGAAAAGGCUCUGGUUAAUACCUGGGGCACAUGACGGUACCGUAAGAAUAAGCACCGGCUAACUACGUGCCAGCAGCCGCGGUAAUACGUAGGGUGCGAGCGUUAAUCGGAAUUACUGGGCGUAAAGCGUGCGCAGGCGGUUUUGUAAGACAGGCGUGAAAUCCCCGGGCUCAACCUGGGAAUGGCGCUUGUGACUGCAAGGCUGGAGUGCGGCAGAGGGGGAUGGAAUUCCGCGUGUAGCAGUGAAAUGCGUAGAUAUGCGGAGGAACACCGAUGGCGAAGGCAAUCCCCUGGGCCUGCACUGACGCUCAUGCACGAAAGCGUGGGGAGCAAACAGGAUUAGAUACCC
RNAcentral lists this ribosomal RNA (763 nucleotides) under uncultured bacterium. RNAcentral describes it as "bacterial SSU rRNA". It matches the Rfam family "Bacterial small subunit ribosomal RNA", at positions 28 to 787 of the family's 1533-position model. The record is from RNAcentral.